UCAUAAUUUGUGACCGUGGUUUUCUUUUUGGAAACCUUUUCAAUUCGUGGAAGAGAUUCACCCUUACUUUGGGUGUUGUAUUAUAUUUUUCAGCAAUUGAUUGGAUGCAUCUUAGAGGAUGUGAAAUUUGUAAAGCCCUAAUCAUAGCAUUCUGAUGACAGAUUUCUUAGGCAAUAUGCUCAGCUGGUUGGUUUGUUGACUUCAAAGUCAGUACUAAGGAGUUGAUUAUCCGGGGAAAAAUGCACAGCCUUCUGCUUUGAGAAUGACAUCAGACAAAUGAGGUCUAUUAGUCUUGAAUGUGCUCAUAUAAUUCAGCUCAAUGGCUGGCUAAUUGUUAAUGCGUUUACAGAUCCCCCAUCUGCAUAAAACCUGAUAGCGGAGCAACAAAACCAGCUGCUCAUAUUUCAGCAUCGAUAGUGCAUGCUUUUAGGCUAUUUGUGUCUGUCUCAGUUGGUGCUAACAUCUUGGAGGUCACGUGAAAGAGCGUUUUAUAUUGAAUUGCACAAUGCCUUGGGUAUGUGGUUUACUUGCUUUUACAGUUUGCAACGGGUAGCUUCACUAGCUUGGUAAGGCUCUGAGAUUAAACAGUUAGGUGCUAACGGUCAAAAGUAAAGGCGGGAAGAUGGAUGGGUUGGGUAACAAGCUGAUAUAAAACACAACCUAAAUCAAAUCAAUCAUAACUAAACCCAUUUUUUGGCAUAUCACAUAAACACGGUUUUCUAAAUGCUUACUAAACCCAUUUUUGGCAUAUCAUGAUCAAUAUUCAGUCAACUCUUUCUAAAUCCUCAAUCCUUGCAUACUCAUCAUCUUGCUCUGAAUAUUGGAAACAAAUAGUGAAACCGGUUGGAUUGAUUUAAUCAAGCAUAUAUUUAUAUAUCUGAUUAGGAUAAUAUAGGAAAAUCUGUAUAAUACUAUAAUACCAACUGAUAUUACCGACCAUGGUACGUGUAUCAGAUACUAGAUGUAUAGGUAUAGAUCAUUUUGUAAUUGCUUGAGAUGGACAGUACAGUGGUUUUUGUCAUCAUUUAGGUUAAAGUUGAGAUAUUUUGAAUCACAAUAAGCACUGCAGUUUUUUAGAUCCUUUAAUAUGUUUUGCCUUAUUGACAUGCUUUACUCGAUGCGUCAGGGGUUAUUGUAAAUCUACAUGUUUUGCAGGUGAAUUAGGGGUGUCAAGUUCCUCGUCAACACAGAUAAUUGAUGAUGAUGAUGUGCCUGCACUGCAAACCUUCAAAUCGGCUCUCAGGGACCUAAAUCGGGUCAAUUUGAAUACAAUUCAUUAAGUCCCAACAGUGAACACACUUGCUGAACUUUUAGAGUGCGGUAGCGGUAGGAAACGUAAUUUGUUCCCUGACGAAGAGACGAUUCUGUUAAAAAGUACAAUUGAGAUUGUUGAUGUUUGAACAAGGAAUGAGUGGUACCUGAUCACAUGCAGAGUGGCCUGUGUGGGAAGGGCCUAACUAGGGAUGAUAGUGGGUUCUGGUGUGCAGAAUGUAACACAGCUAUGACAUAUCAGCGUAUCAGGUUUGAGAUUAAACUGGAUAUCAGGGAUGAAAGUGCAUCUACAGUUGUUUUAUUUGAUGAUCCCGGGGAAAGGUUGCUUAGCCGAACAGCAAAGUCGUUAUUGGAUGAAGAGUUGCAGAGGAUGACUAAGGUAUGAUGUUAUGCCACCUGUUUUUCUGAAUCUGAUUGGUAGCAAACACGUGUUUGAGAUCAAGGGACACAACUACACCAUUGCCCUUAUGUACAACUGCUUGGUACAUGUGGGCAUAUGUAGACUCUAAUUAGAUCAAAGAGCACAGUUUUGAUAUAUGAGGUGGUUACAUUCAAUGCCAGAAUUCCCUUGGCUACUGACAAGGUUGCUUCUUCAUGUAACGAAUGCAAUAGCAAAAACAAUGGGUUUUAUUGGAGAAUGUUACUUUUUGUA
Erigeron canadensis is the source of this 1924-nucleotide long non-coding RNA. RefSeq lists it as uncharacterized. NCBI's taxonomy places the organism in Eukaryota, Viridiplantae, Streptophyta, Magnoliopsida, Asterales, Asteraceae. The transcript has 6 exons. The record is from RefSeq and is a predicted model, not a curated record.